Molecule: unclassified non-coding RNA, 424 nt
Filed under: Hevea brasiliensis (rubber tree)
Lineage: Eukaryota; Viridiplantae; Streptophyta; Magnoliopsida; Malpighiales; Euphorbiaceae
Source: RNAcentral
AGCAAAUACAAGAAACCUCUACAGCCACCAUAUUGUCACCAUGGGGAAAUCUGUAGCGACUCUGCAACUUUUGAUGGGUUGCUGCAAGACCAGUUCUGAGGCAGAUGGUCGCACUGACACUACAGAUGAUAGACCUAAGUUACCUGCACCGCUAAAUCACCAGUCACCAGUUAUGGAUCUGAUUGAAUCCAGCUCAUCUUAUGAUAAGGAGAAUCGAAGUCAUCCACCUGCCUCUGAGACUGAUCUAGGAUAUGAGAUGAAGAAAUAUGGUUAUAAACAACUAGCAGAGGUAACUGGUGGUUUCUCCGACGACUACCAGCUCGGCGAGGGUGGUUUUGGUAUAGUCUAUAAGGCAACCUUAGAUGGUGAAGACGUUGCUAUCAAGAAACUUAAAAGACAGCUGGAAAAUAAGUUGGCGGAGAUU